RNAcentral lists this non-coding RNA (31 nucleotides) under Mus musculus (house mouse). Lineage: Eukaryota; Metazoa; Chordata; Mammalia; Rodentia; Muridae. The record is from RNAcentral.
UAAAAGAGCAGACUUGGAGCUCGUAAUGUGC